This 450-nucleotide ribosomal RNA is filed under the name uncultured bacterium. RNAcentral's name for it is "partial 16S ribosomal RNA". It matches the Rfam family "Bacterial small subunit ribosomal RNA", at positions 354 to 796 of the family's 1533-position model. The record is from RNAcentral.
GUGGGGAAUUUUGGACAAUGGGCGCAAGCCUGAUCCAGCAAUGCCGCGUGCAGGAAGAAGGCCUUCGGGUUGUAAACUGCUUUUGUACGGAACGAAACGGUCCGGGUUAAUACCCUGGGCUAAUGACGGUACCGUAAGAAUAAGCACCGGCUAACUACGUGCCAGCAGCCGCGGUAAUACGUAGGGUGCAAGCGUUAAUCGGAAUUACUGGGCGUAAAGCGUGCGCAGGCGGUUUUGUAAGACAGGCGUGAAAUCCCCGGGCUCAACCUGGGAAUUGCGCUUGGGACUGCAAGACUGGAGUGCGGCAGAGGGGGAUGGAAUUCCGCGUGUAGCAGUGAAAUGCGUAGAUAUGCGGAGGAACACCGAUGGCGAAGGCAAUCCCCUGGACCUGUACUGACGCUCAUGCACGAAAGCGUGGGGAGCAAACAGGAUUAGAUACCCUUGUAGUCC